RNAcentral lists this ribosomal RNA (468 nucleotides) under uncultured bacterium. RNAcentral describes it as "partial 16S ribosomal RNA". It matches the Rfam family "Bacterial small subunit ribosomal RNA", at positions 28 to 507 of the family's 1533-position model. The record is from RNAcentral.
GACGAACGCUGGCGGCGUGCUUAACACAUGCAAGUCGAACGGAAAGGCCCUGCUUUUGUGGGGUGCUCGAGUGGCGAACGGGUGAGUAACACGUGAGUAACCUGCCCUUGACUUUGGGAUAACUUCAGGAAACUGGGGCUAAUACCGGAUAGGAGCUCCUGCUGCAUGGUGGGGGUUGGAAAGUUUCGGCUGUUGGGGAUAGACUCGCGGCUUAUCAGCUUGUUGGUGGGGUAGUGGCUUACCAAGGCUUUGACGGGUAGCCGGCCUGAGAGGGUGACCGGCCACAAUGGGACUGAGAUACGGCCCAGACUCCUACGGGAGGCAGCAGUGGGGAAUAUUGCACAAUGGGCGGAAGCCUGAUGCAGCAACGCCGCGUGCGGGAUGACGGCCUUCGGGUUGUAAACAGCUUUCGACUGUGACGAAGCGUGAGUGACGGUAAUGGGUAAAGAAGCACCGGCUAACUACGUG